This 469-nucleotide ribosomal RNA is filed under the name uncultured Alphaproteobacteria bacterium. RNAcentral's name for it is "bacterial SSU rRNA". It matches the Rfam family "Bacterial small subunit ribosomal RNA", at positions 9 to 524 of the family's 1533-position model. Lineage: Bacteria; Pseudomonadati; Pseudomonadota; Alphaproteobacteria. The record is from RNAcentral.
GAGUUUGAUCUUGGCUCAGAACGAACGCUGGCGGCAUGCCUAACACAUGCAAGUCGAACGAUCCCUUCGGGGAUAGUGGCGCACGGGUGCGUAACGCGUGGGAACCUGCCCUUAGGUUCGGAAUAACUCCCCGAAAGGGGUGCUAAUACCGGAUAAUGUCUUCGGACCAAAGAUUUAUCGCCUUUGGAUGGGCCCGCGUUGGAUUAGCUAGUUGGUGGGGUAAAGGCCUACCAAGGCGACGAUCCAUAGCUGGUCUUAGAGGAUGAUCAGCCACACUGGGACUGAGACACGGCCCAGACUCCUACGGGAGGCAGCAGUGGGGAAUAUUGGACAGUGGGCGAAAGCCUGAUCCAGCAAUGCCGCGUGAGUGAUGAAGGCCCUAGGGUUGUAAAGCUCUUUUACCAGGGAUGAUAAUGACAGUACCUGGAGGAUAAGCUCCGGCUAACUCCGUGCCAGCAGCCGCCGUAAC